CCCUAACCGUGCAAAGGUAGCAUAAUCAUUUGCCUUUUAAUUGGAGGCUUGUAUGAAUGGUUUGACGAGGGCUAAGCUGUCUCUUUUAAAAUAUUUAGAAAUUAACUUUUAGGUGAAGAGGCCUAAAUUUGGCUGAGGGACAAGAAGACCCUGUUGAGCUUUAGUUUUAUGCUAAAUGGAUUAUUAUGAUAUUUGUAAUAAGCGUGGACCUAGGUGUAAUGGGAUUUUAGUAUGAAUCUUUAGUUGGGGCGACUGAGGAACAGCUAGAGCUUCCUUUGGUUUAGAGGGGCAAGUAGUGUGCCGGAAAAUGGUGUAUUCUUGCAGGUUGUUUUGAUCCAGUAGAAUACUGAUUAAAGGAAAAAGUUACCACAGGGAUAACAGCGUAAUCUUUCUGGAGAGAUCUUAUCGAAAGGAGGGUUUGCGACCUCGAUGUUGGACUAA
This 441-nucleotide ribosomal RNA is filed under the name Monodonta confusa. RNAcentral describes it as "partial 16S rRNA". It matches the Rfam family "Bacterial large subunit ribosomal RNA", at positions 1940 to 2540 of the family's 2925-position model. The record is from RNAcentral. Lineage: Eukaryota; Metazoa; Mollusca; Gastropoda; Trochida; Trochidae.